CCAGACUCCUACGGGAGGCAGCAGUGGGGAAUAUUGGACAAUGGGGGGAACCCUGAUCCAGCGACGCCGCGUGAGUGAAGAAGUAUUUCGGUAUGUAAAGCUCUAUCAGCAGGGAAGAAGAAAUGACGGUACCUGACUAAGAAGCCCCGGCUAACUACGUGCCAGCAGCCGCGGUAAUACGUAGGGGGCAAGCGUUAUCCGGAUUUACUGGGUGUAAAGGGAGCGUAGACGGUGCAGCAAGUCUGGAGUGAAAGGCAGGGGCCCAACCCCGGAACUGCUCUGGAAACUGUGAAGCUGGAGUGCAGGAGAGGUAAGCGGAAUUCCUGGUGUAGCGGUGAAAUGCGUAGAUAUCAGGAGGAACACCGGCGGCGAAGGCGGCUUACUGGACUGUAACUGACGUUGAGGCUCGAAGGCGUGGGGAGCAAACAGGAUUAGAUACCCCGGUAAC
RNAcentral lists this ribosomal RNA (448 nucleotides) under uncultured bacterium. Its description in RNAcentral is "bacterial SSU rRNA". It matches the Rfam family "Bacterial small subunit ribosomal RNA", at positions 331 to 794 of the family's 1533-position model. The record is from RNAcentral.